This 431-nucleotide ribosomal RNA is filed under the name uncultured bacterium. RNAcentral describes it as "partial 16S ribosomal RNA". It matches the Rfam family "Bacterial small subunit ribosomal RNA", at positions 29 to 507 of the family's 1533-position model. The record is from RNAcentral.
AACGAACGCUGGCGGCAUGCCUAACACAUGCAAGUCGAACGAGACCUUCGGGUCUAGUGGCGCACGGGUGCGUAACGCGUGGGAACCUGCCCUUAGGUUCGGAAUAACUCCCCGAAAGGGGUGCUAAUACCGGAUAAUGUCUUCGGACCAAAGAUUUAUCGCCUUUGGAUGGGCCCGCGUUGGAUUAGCUAGUUGGUAGGGUAAAAGCCUACCAAGGCGACGAUCCAUAGCUGGUCUGAGAGGAUGAUCAGCCACACUGGGACUGAGACACGGCCCAGACUUCUGCGAGGGGCAGGAGUGGGAAAUAUUAGACAGGGGGCGAGAGCCUGAUCCAGCAGUGCCGCGUGAGUGGUGAAGGCCUUAGGGUUGAAGCUCUUUUACCCGGGAUGAUAAUGACAGUACCGGGAGAAUAAGCUCCGGCUAACUCCGUG